AGGAAAUUAAGUACGGAAGUUCCUGAUUUCACGCUGUCAAGAAAAGCCUCUAGGAAGAGUAGUACUGCCCGUACCGCAAACCGACACAGGUAGAUGAGGAGAGAAUCCUAAGGUGAGCGAGAGAACUCUCGUUAAGGAACUCGGCAAAAUGACCCCGUAACUUCGGGAGAAGGGGUGCUCUAUUAGGGUGCAAGCCCGAGAGAGCCGCAGUGAAUAGGCCCAGGCGACUGUUUAGCAAAAACACAGGUCUCUGCAAAACCGUAAGGUGACGUAUAGGGGCUGACGCCUGCCCGGUGCUGGAAGGUUAAGAGGAGUGCUUAGCUUCGGCGAAGGUACGAAUUGAAGCCCCAGUAAACGGCGGCCGUAACUAUAACGGUCCUAAGGUAGCGAAAUUCCUUGUCGGGUAAGUUCCGACCCGCACGAAAGGCGCAACGAUCUGGGCACUGUCUCAACGAGAGACUCGGUGAAAUUAUAGUACCUGUGAAGAUGCAGGUUACCCGCGACAGGACGGAAAGACCCCGUGGAGCUUUACUGCAACCUGAUAUGGAAUGUUUGUACCGCUUGUACAGGAUAGGUAGGAGCCGAAGAGACGUGUGCGCUAGCAUACGAGGAGGCAAUGGUGGGAUACUACCCUGGCUGUAUGACCAUUCUAACCCGCCACGCUUAGCGCGUGGGGAGACAGUGUCAGGUGGGCAGUUUGACUGGGGCGGUCGCCUCCUAAAGAGUAACGGAGGCGCCCAAAGGUUCCCUCAGAAUGGAUGGAAAUCAUUCGCAGAGUGUAAAGGCACAAGGGAGCUUGACUGCGAGACUGACAAGUCGAGCAGGGACGAAAGUCGGGCUUAGUGAUCCGGUGGUUCCGCAUGGAAGGGCCAUCGCUCAACGGAUAAAAGCUACCCCGGGGAUAACAGGCUUAUCUCCCCCAAGAGUCCACAUCGACGGGGAGGUUUGGCACCUCGAUGUCGGCUCGUCGCAUCCUGGGGCUGUAGUCGGUCCCAAGGGUUGGGCUGUUCG
This 1011-nucleotide ribosomal RNA is filed under the name Listeria monocytogenes. RNAcentral's name for it is "partial 23S ribosomal RNA". It matches the Rfam family "Bacterial large subunit ribosomal RNA", at positions 1572 to 2583 of the family's 2925-position model. The record is from RNAcentral. Lineage: Bacteria; Bacillati; Bacillota; Bacilli; Caryophanales; Listeriaceae.